Molecule: long non-coding RNA, 1125 nt
Organism: Bos taurus (domestic cattle)
Lineage: Eukaryota; Metazoa; Chordata; Mammalia; Artiodactyla; Bovidae
Source: Ensembl
GGGAUUCUCCAGGCAAUAACACUGGAGUGGGGUGCCAUGGCCUUCUCCGAUAGAUUAGGUUAGUACUUCUAAUUCCCAAGGAGUUAUGAAAUGGUCAAAGAAACCGAAAAGUUUGACCGAGAAAGGAGAGUUUGGUCCACACAUUUUGCCCAUUUCUGGUUGGUUCCCGAAGGAGACAUUGGGUGCCUCUUGGCAUUGGCAGGUUGGUAUAACGCCCCGACAGGUUUCUGCCAUAAGCCGUAUGAGAUAACCGUGGAACCGCAGAGCAGGGCUCCUUACUUGCUUCACACAGGGCAUGCCAUUCAUUCAUACAAGCACACCGUAGAGUUAGUAAAGCACAGCAGAAAACGUGUUCGCUAAGAGGAACAAAGAACUAAAGCUCCAAGCAUCCUUACCUUGUCCUGAAGGAUCCCAGACGAGCCCCCAAGAUGAAAGGUUGUUGUUGAAUCACGCGAAGACACCGGGAUUCUUGGCCCCCGGAGGAGAAGAAUUCAAUCCGGGGCCAGAGAUGAGGCUUGAUUGCUCAGAGCUUUUGUGUAAUAAAGUUUUAUUAAAGUAUAAAGGAGAUAGAAAAAGCUUCUGACAUAGGCAUCAGAAGGGGGCAGAAAGAGUACCCUUUGGGAUGGAUGGGAUGGGUUCCCAUAAAAAGGAGUGGUUCUCUUUAGGGCGGAGAAGAGCAUUAUCCACUGAGUGGGAAAGGCUUCUGAGCUCUGGAGAGAUGCGGAGCUGGAAGGAGGAAGGGUGGGUGGGAAGUGGUCUCUGAAGAGGAGAUCAUGCUUCCUUAAGACCUUGGAAAACACAAGGGACAAGCUAGAAGGAUGAUCUGCAGUGGAGGAGGGUAGGAGGGGACCCCACUUUGGCCACCUAGCUGAACCCUUGUGUAUGGAUUCUCAGCUUCAAUCUGCCCAGCAGCCAACCAGAGUCUCAGGAUUCCUGUGGCCAGAGAAGGACCUUUGGAAAAACUUGGGCAGCCCAUGAUGAUGAGGGCAGAAUGCAGCCAAGCUGACUGGCUCCCACCUCCCCAAGCUGAAUGUUUCUGCUGUGCUAAGAUCAGACAGGGUGCUGAGCAUGCCCUGCUCUUCCUAGAGCUCUGGGGAGUGGGAGUAUAAAUAAGAAGUGGAGAGG